GUCCCAAGGGUUGGGCUGUUCGCCCAUUAAAGCGGUACGCGAGCUGGGUUCAGAACGUCGUGAGACAGUUCGGUCCCUAUCCGUCGUGGGCGUAGGAAAUUUGAGAGGAGCUGUCCUUAGUACGAGAGGACCGGGAUGGACACACCGCUGGUGUACCAGUUGUCUUGCCAAAGGCAUCGCUGGGUAGCUAUGUGUGGACGGGAUAAGUGCUGAAAGCAUCUAAGCAUGAAGCCCCCCUCAAGAUGAGAUUUCCCAUAGCGCAAGCUAGUAAGAUCCCUGAAAGAUGAUCAGGUUGAUAGGUCAGAGGUGGAAGCGUGGCGACAUGUGUAGCUGACUGAUACUAAUCGAUCGAGGACUUAACCAAAC
RNAcentral lists this ribosomal RNA (366 nucleotides) under Priestia aryabhattai. Its description in RNAcentral is "bacterial LSU rRNA". It matches the Rfam family "Bacterial large subunit ribosomal RNA", at positions 2562 to 2925 of the family's 2925-position model. Lineage: Bacteria; Bacillati; Bacillota; Bacilli; Caryophanales; Bacillaceae. The record is from RNAcentral.